GGGAGAGGCAGAGAUGCGUAUCCGAUGGACAGCAGGUUUAAGAUUCCUGCACCCCUUGUUAUCAGAACUGCGGGGACACGGGAAGGGAAGCAGAGCCGGGAAUGGAAAGCCCGGUGCAAGCGAAGUAGUCGCAGGGUUGGAAAAUCCGCCCUGCAUGAGACGAAGGCGUGAUGCGGAGCGAAAUGAAGUAGUGAAGCUGCGGCCCCUUCCUGUCGAGAAAAGCCGCUAUCGUGUAGCAAGGGCCCGUACCGUAAACCGACACAGGUGGAUGAGGAGAGGAUCCUAAGGCCGGCGGGAGAAGUGUUGUUAAGGAACUCGGCAAAAUGACUCCGUAACUUCGGGAGAAGGAGUGCUGCGCAAGCAGCCGCAGAGAAAUGGCCCAAGCAACUGUUUAGCAAAAACACAGGUCUAUGCGAAACCGAAAGGUGAGGUAUAUGGGCUGACGCCUGCCCGGUGCUGGAAGGUUAAGGGGAGAGCUUAGCGCAAGCGAAGGUUUGAACUUAAGCCCCAGUAAACGGCGGCCGUAACUAUAACGGUCCUAAGGUAGCGAAAUUCCUUGUCGGGUAAGUUCCGACCCGCACGAAAGGCGUAAUGAUUUGGGCACUGUCUCAACAACACACCCGGUGAAAUUGAAAUACCAGUGAAGAUGCUGGUUACCCGCGCCAGGACGGAAAGACCCCAUGAGCUUUACUCCAGCCUGAUACUGGGAUUCGGUAUUGCAUGUACAGGAUAGGUGGGAGGCUAAGAACUUAUGGCGCCAGCCGUGAGGGAGCCGAUGUUGGGAUACCACCCCUGCAGUACUGGGUUUCUAACCUGCGCCCGUGACCCGGGCGGGGGACAAUGUCAGGCGGGGAGUUUGACUGGGGCGGUCGCCUCCGAAAGGGUAUCGGAGGCGCUCAAAGGCCUCCUCAGGAUGGUUGGAAACCAUCCAGAGAGUGCAAAGGCAGAAGGAGGCUUGACUGCGACACCGACGGGUGGAGCAGGUACGAAAGUAGGACUUAGUGAUCCGGUGGCAUAAAGUGGGAUUGCCAUCGCUCAACGGAUAAAAGCUACCCUGGGAUAACAGGCUUAUCACUCCCAAGAGUUCACAUCGACGGAGUGGUUUGGCACCUCGAUGUCGGCUCAUCGCAUCCUGGAGCUGGAGCAGGUUCCAAGGGUUGGGCUGUUCGCCCAUUAAAGCGGUACGCGAGCUGGGUUCAGAACGUCGUGAGACAGUUCGGUCCCUAUCCGGCGCGGGCGCAGGAUAUCUGAGAGGAGCUGUCCUUAGUACGAGAGGACCGGGAUGGACCGUCCGCUGGUGGACCGGUUGUCAUGCCAAUGGCACGGCCGGGUAGCCAGACGGGAAGGGAUAAACGCUGAAGGCAUCUAAGCGUGAAGCCCCCCUCAAGAUGAGAUAUCCAUACUCGAAAGAGUGAGAGACCCCUUAGAGACGAUGAGGUAGAUAGGGCAGAGAUGGAAGCACAGCGAUGUGUGGAGUUGACUGUUACUAAUCGGUCGAUAGCUC
Molecule: ribosomal RNA, 1504 nt
Filed under: metagenome
Description: bacterial LSU rRNA
Rfam family: Bacterial large subunit ribosomal RNA
Source: RNAcentral